UUCCCAGACUCCUACGGGAGGCAGCAGUGAGGAAUAUUGGUCAAUGGGCGAGAGCCUGAACCAGCCAAGUCGCGUGAGGGAGGACGGCCCUACGGGUUGUAAACCUCUUUUGCCGGGGGACAAACGGCGGCACGCGUGCCGUCCUGAGGGUACCCGGAGAAAAAGCAUCGGCUAACUCCGUGCCAGCAGCCGCGGUAAUACGGAGGAUGCGAGCGUUAUCCGGAUUUAUUGGGUUUAAAGGGUGCGUAGGGGGGAUGCCAAGUCAGCGGUCAAAUGCGGGGGCUCAACCUGCGUCCGCCGUUGAAACUGGCGUUCUUGAGUGGGCGAGAAGUACGCGGAAUGCGUGGUGUAGCGGUGAAAUGCAUAGAUAUCACGCAGAACUCCGAUUGCGAAGGCAGCGCACCGGCGCCCUACUGACGCUCAGGCACGAAAGCGUGGGUAUCGAACAGGAUUAGAUACCCGUGUA
RNAcentral lists this ribosomal RNA (466 nucleotides) under uncultured bacterium. Its description in RNAcentral is "partial 16S ribosomal RNA". It matches the Rfam family "Bacterial small subunit ribosomal RNA", at positions 328 to 792 of the family's 1533-position model. The record is from RNAcentral.